UCUGCAUGAGCUAUAGUUGUGGGAGUUCUAACAGUUGUUAUAUAUGCCCAUAAUGCAUUGUAGAUAUUUUCAUGCCAUUUUUAGCUGGACUCGACCAUUCCUUUUAAGACUCUGAUCAGAAUCAUGGUUCUGGCUUCUACUUGGCCAUUGCCUUGUAGGUAGUAAGCUGAUGAAAAUUGAUGCUUAAUUCUAAAUUUUGAACAGAAAUUCUGCAUGUGUUCAUUCUUGAAGUGUGUCCCAUUAUCUAAGACAAUAUCAUGAGGCACUGGAAAUCUACAAAGAAUGUUCAUAUGAAUGAAAGCCACUAUGUGUUUGCCUUCUACUAUUUCUGAGUGUCACAACUUCAACCCACUUAGUGAAGUAUUCCAUGGUUGCAAGAAAGUACUUAUGACCAUUACAAGUAGAGUGAUUGAUGGGCCCACAACAUCAAAUGCCAACAUUGAAAAAAGGUCAUGGUGAGACUACUGAGUGUAAAUAUGUAGUAGGUGCAUGAAUGGAAUCUACAUGAAUUUGGCAUUUGAAACACUUUUUGACAUGUUUGUAACAAUCUUGUUGCAUGGUUUGCUAAUGAUAGUUGGCUCUAAUUAACUGCUCGGUGAGAGUUUCGUAGCCUAUGUGGCCACCACAGAUUCCUUCAUGGGUUUUUUCUAAUUACCUCUUAUGCCUCAACUUUAUCUAUGCAUCUGGAGUAUUCUGCAUUGGAGCCCCCCUUGUUUAAAAUUUUGGCGAGUAUACAAUAUCAAUGAGACAUUCUUUGAAUUGUUUGGACAUCCAAAGGGAAGUUUCAUGUUUCUAGGUGAUUCUUUAUGUUUUGAUAUUAGGGUGCUUCUUUUGAUUCCGGUUGACCUGUUCUAUCCUUUCAUAGGCUGAUUGACAAGACAUCUUUUAAUUGCUUUCUGCUCUUGUUUAGACAUGUCGAGAGGGAAGCUUCUUAUUUUCAGAUAAUUCAUUAUGUUUUGAUACUAGGGUGCUUCUUGUGAUUCUACAUGGUGACCUUUUUCAUACUAGGUGCUUCUUGUGAUUCCACAUGGUGACCUUCGAUCUUUCCAUCGGCUGAUUGAGUCAAUCUUCCAACUUCAAAGGCUCCACAUGGUUCAGGUCAAUUGAUGGUACUAAUGGAGCCUCAGCUGGCUAAAUGAUUUGCAAACUAAUUGAACUCUCUUCUAACAUAGAAAAGCUAAAAUUCAUCAAACUGUUUGACCAGUACUUUGGUCAUCUCUUGAGAUGGUAUGAGUUUAGAAUCUUUCACUUACCAUUCUUCAUUAACUUGAUUUAAAAUAAUGAGGGAGUCUUUUUAAGAGUGAACUCUUUCCACAUUAAAUUCUAGUAGUGUCUCAAAGCCUCGACUAAAGACUUCUUAUUCUACUAUCUUGUAUGUACAGAGGAAAUCCAGCCUGAGGGAGUCGAGGAAAUCCAGCCUGAGGGAAUAUGGUAUUAUUUACUUUUUAGGAUAGGUGGAUCCAAUAGGUACUAUUUGAUACACGUCAAAAGGUGUUGGCAUUGUGGGGCCCACUGAAGAUUGACCCCUCUUUUGAGAAAAUGCCACCAACUGGGUCGUCAUCCCAAAUGUUGAAAAAGACAGCCAUGUCCAGAGCUUGGGUAAGUAUGCAGUGCAAAAACAGAACAACCCAUACCUCAAAUUCAUAAAGGUGGUGCAUGCAGAGAUGCUGGACCAUGGCACCCAACACUAUACCUACAAGCUCGUCAUUUGCCUGGUAGAAGGAAUCCGCACAGCCUAUUAAUCCAGCGAGAUCCUGUAGGAUCUUGGGGCACCGAACGAGCCACCAGUGCUAAACAUAGCUUCCUUAAAGCCCAUCUCUUACUGGCCUAAACCAAACCCCAAGUGGAUCACCAUCCCUAACGAUGGAUGCGCCUGGCACUUGUGUUCCUUUGCUGUGAACAGAUACAACAGUCAGAACCAUGCUUCUCUCAAUCUCUUGAAGGUGGUGUAUGGAUAGAUGCUGGAUCGCGGCACUGAGCAUUUCACCUACCACUUCACCAUUAAAGUUUCUGAUAGCUACAGGGUGAAGACAUACAAAAUUGAAGUGUUCCAAGAUUUGUCAGCAGCGGGCCAGCCACGGGUCCUCAACUUGGGAUACUUCCACCGCCUCUAGAUUAAUUAACAUUGUUCCCCCUGCUGUUCUAUAUAUAUUUAUUUCAAUAAUAAAUGCAUCCAUACAUUGAUGCAUUUGAUCAUGAAAGAUUGUUGUCAUUGCUCAUUGAUGUGUAGCCCCUACAUUUUUUAGCAUGAAGGACAUCACUGUAUAGCAGAAGAUUCCCACAGCUUUGAUGUUUGACUGCCAACUUGAUCUAGUUAUAAUCUGAAUAAUCAUCCAUGAAAGAGAACAUCUCAUGUCCCAUGGCAUUGUCUAUCAACACAUUCAUUUUUGGCAAUGGAUAGCCACCUUUUAGAGUG
Molecule: long non-coding RNA, 2416 nt
Organism: Nymphaea colorata (pocket water lily)
Lineage: Eukaryota; Viridiplantae; Streptophyta; Magnoliopsida; Nymphaeales; Nymphaeaceae
Exons: 3
Source: RefSeq, a predicted model, not a curated record